UGAAGGGCAUAGAAAUAUAACACCACAAUUUUAAGGGAGAGGACGGAGACAUCACUAUCUCCAAUAAUUAUUAAUAUAAAAACAGAAUUACCCUCUGCUAAAGAUAAGUUACCCAAAACAUCACAAACUAUGCAGGUUUAGCUCCUCCUCCUGUCAGUCUCUCUGAAUUUCUGUCACAUAUUUAAUGGCUCACACCUCCUCUCCUCCUACAGAAGCAAUGCUAUCUCUUUCCAAGUUCCAAGUCUCAACACACAGUGAAAUCAUGCUGGUGACUCUCUGUGCUCUCAUCACUGCUCUAACAUGUGUGAGUGGUGUGACGGUGCUGACACAGAAACCUCCUGUUUUAUCAGUGAGGAAAGGAGAGACAGCCACCAUGGACUGUAACCUGGGGACUGUUAGUUAGUAUACCUUUUGGUAUAAACAGAUUCCAGGAGGAGUUCCUCAGUUUGUGCUGUUUUUUCGUUAUGACUCUAGUUCUCCAACCUAUGGCUCUGGGUUCUCCUCUUCAAAAUUCACAUCCACUCAUCAGUCAACAUCAGAUUAUCGUUUGAUCAU
This is a long non-coding RNA of Oreochromis niloticus (Nile tilapia), 555 nucleotides long. RefSeq lists it as uncharacterized. The transcript has 2 exons. The record is from RefSeq and is a predicted model, not a curated record. Lineage: Eukaryota; Metazoa; Chordata; Actinopteri; Cichliformes; Cichlidae.